This 273-nucleotide unclassified non-coding RNA is filed under the name Hevea brasiliensis (rubber tree). Lineage: Eukaryota; Viridiplantae; Streptophyta; Magnoliopsida; Malpighiales; Euphorbiaceae. The record is from RNAcentral.
AGAGUUAUUUUUAAGAUUAGGUUUUGAUAUAAGGAUUCUAGGUAUUAAGUAGUCCUUUAUGUUUAGGGUUAUGAUUAUGUAUAUUUAUUUUAAUUAAUAAUUUAAUUUAAUAAAUUGGAAAGAGAAAUAAUUAUUCAAGUUUAAGCACAAAAAACUUGGUCAUGCAUUAAUUUGUACCAUCAAAUCAGAUGGUUUAAUAAGGAUGCCCAUUAGUCCCUUUUAAUUGGAUUGAAAUAGAAUUAAGUGUCCCAAUCAUAAUAAAAUUGCUUAUUU